GACGAACGCUGGCGGCGUGCCUAAUACAUGCAAGUCGAGCGGAACUGGGGGAGCUUGCUCCUUCCAGUUUAGCGGCGGACGGGUGAGUAACACGUGGGCAACCUGCCCUGCAGAUCGGGAUAACUCCGGGAAACCGGUGCUAAUACCGAAUAGUUUGGCGCCUCUCCUGAGGCGCUACGGCAAGACGGUUUCGGCUGUCACUGCAGGAUUGGCCCGCGGCGCAUUAGCUAGUUGGUGGGGUAACGGCCCACCAAGGCGACGAUGCGUAGCCGACCUGAGAGGGUGACCGGCCACACUGGGACUGAGACACGGCCCAGACCCCUACGGGAGGCAGCAGUAGGGAAUCUUCCGCAAUGGACGCAAGUCUGACGGAGCAACGCCGCGUGAGUGACGAAGGUUUUCGGAUCGUAAAACUCUGUUGUGAGGGAAGAACACGUACCAACUAACUAUUGGUACCUUGACGGUACCUCACCAGAAAGCCACGGCUAACUACGUGCCAGCCGCCGCAGUAA
RNAcentral lists this ribosomal RNA (512 nucleotides) under uncultured bacterium. RNAcentral describes it as "partial 16S ribosomal RNA". It matches the Rfam family "Bacterial small subunit ribosomal RNA", at positions 28 to 523 of the family's 1533-position model. The record is from RNAcentral.